This 265-nucleotide ribosomal RNA is filed under the name uncultured archaeon. RNAcentral's name for it is "partial 16S ribosomal RNA". It matches the Rfam family "Archaeal small subunit ribosomal RNA", at positions 717 to 982 of the family's 1478-position model. The record is from RNAcentral.
AGACGUCUACAUUAGAUACCCCCUGUAGUCCCAGCCGUAAACUAUGCGCGUUAGGUGUAUCGGUGACCACGAGUUACCGAGGUGCCGAAGGGAAACCGUGAAACGUGCCGCCUGGGAAGUACGGUCGCAAGGCUGAAACUUAAAGGAAUUGGCGGGGAGCACCACAACAGGUGGAGCCUGCGGUUUAAUUGGACUCAACGCCGGGAAGCUCACCGGAUAGGACAGCAGAAUGAUUGCCGGGCUGAAGACCCUGCAUGACUAGCUG